UUAUGCUGAUAAGAGCGUAUGGUGGAUGCCUUGGCACUAAGAGCCGAUGAAAGACGUGAUAAGCUGCGAAAAGCUUCGGGGAGGGGCAAAUACCCAUCGAUCCGGAGAUUUCUGAAUGGGGAAACCUAACUGAGCAAACCUCAGUUAUCCUGACGCCAAUCCAUAACGUCAGGAAGGGAACCCGGUGAACUGAAACAUCUAAGUAGCCGGAGGAAGAGAAAACAACAUGUGAUUCUGUGAGUAGCGGCGAGCGAAAACGGAAGAGCCCAAACCGGGAUGCGUGCAUCCCGGGGUUCGGACCGCGGAAUUGAUUCAACAAGUUUAGCAGAACAGUUUUGGGAAAGCUGACCAAAGAGGGUGAAAGUCCCGUAAGCGAAAGGCGAGUUGACAUGGCGGUAUCCAGAGUAGGUCGAGACACGUGGAACCUUGACUGAAUAUGCGGGGACCACCCCGUAAGGCUAAAUACUCCUUAGUGACCGAUAGCGCAUAGUACUGUGAAGGAAAGGUGAAAAGGACCCCGGGAGGGGAGUGAAAAAGAACCUGAAACCAUAUGUUUACAAGCUGUGGAACAUCUUUAUAUGAUGAACCGCGUACUUUUUGUAGAACGGUCCGGCGAGUUACGCUGGCUGGCGAGGUUAAGCACUGAAGGUGCGGAGCCGAAGGGAAACCAAGUCUGAAUAGGGCGAAAGUCAGUCGGAGUAGACCCGAAACCGGGUGAUCUAUCCAUGUCCAGGUUGAAGUUGCCGUAAAAGGCAAUGGAGGACCGAACCCACAUCCGUUGAAAAGGGUGGGGAUGAGGUGUGGAUAGGGGAGAAAUUCCAAUCGAACCCGGAGAUAGCUGGUUCUCCUCGAAAUAGCUUUAGGGCUAGCCUCAUACAAGUCUUGCGGAGGUAGAGCACUGAAUUCCUACGGGGGCGUCAAAGCUUACCAAGGGAUAUCAAACUCCGAAUGCCGUGUAGAUGAUGUAUGGGAGUCAGACUAUCCGAGAUAAGUUGGGUAGUCGAAAGGGAAAGAGCCCAGACCUGCAGCUAAGGCCCCAAAAUGUGUGUUAAGUGGAAAAGGAUGUGGGAUUUCGAAGACAACUAGGAUGUUGGCUUAGAAGCAGCCAUCCAUUAAAAGAGUGCGUAAUAGCUCACUAGUCGAGAGGUCCUGCGCCGAAAAUGUCCGGGGCUGAAACACACUGCCGAAGCUCAGGGAUGAACAGUGAUCAAUACAGAUCAAUGCAAGAGGAAAGCUUCUUGAUGAAAUCAAGAAGAUUCCAAAACAGAUGGAACAGACUGCUGUUGGUCUGCGUUGAUCACUGUUCAUCGGUAGAGGAGCAUUCUUAAAGAGACGAAGCUGUACCGAAAGGAGCAGUGGAUUUUUAAGAAGAGAGAAUGCCGGAAUGAGUAGCGAGAAAGAGGUGAGAAUCCUCUUGGCCGAAUAUCUAAGGUUUCCAGGGUAAAGCUGAUCUGCCCUGGGUAAGUCGGGGCCUAAGGCGAGGUCGAAAGACGUAGUCGAUGGAUAACAGGUUGAAAUUCCUGUACUAUCCUGUAACAGAACUGUGGGGACGCAGACAGAGAGCACAAGCCGGGAAUGGAAAGACCGGUGCAAGCGAGGUAGGAGUACAUCAGGCAAAUCCGGUGUGCAAUCCGAAGACGUGAUGCGGAUCGAAAAGAAGUAGAGAAGUGUGUGAGCUGGCUGCCAAGAAAAGCCGCUAUUGUUUACAGGAUACCCGUACCGUAAACCGACACAGGUGGAUGAGGAGAGAAUCCUAAGGCCGACGGGAGAAGCAUUGUUAAGGAACUCGGCAAAAUGACUCCGUAACUUCGGGAGAAGGAGUGCCAUGCGAAUGGCCGCAGAGAAUUGGCCCAAGCAACUGUUUAGCAAAAACACAGGUCUAUGCGAAACCGAAAGGUGAGGUAUAUGGGCUGACGCCUGCCCGGUGCUGGAAGGUUAAGGGGAGAGGUUAGCGCAAGCGAAGCUUUGAACUUAAGCCCCAGUAAACGGCGGCCGUAACUAUAACGGUCCUAAGGUAGCGAAAUUCCUUGUCGGGUAAGUUCCGACCCGCACGAAAGGCGUAAUGAUUUGGGCACUGUCUCAACAAUGCACCCGGUGAAAUUGAAAUACCAGUGAAGAUGCUGGUUACCUGCGCCAGGACGGAAAGACCCCAUGGAG
Molecule: ribosomal RNA, 2157 nt
Filed under: human gut metagenome
Description: bacterial LSU rRNA
Rfam family: Bacterial large subunit ribosomal RNA
Source: RNAcentral